GGAGGGAGAGAAAGACUCAAUAAAACAUGGGACACAUGUAUCCUGGUUAAAUGGUGAGCAUAGCGUUCAGUCUGGUUUAAAGCUGGAAUCCUUAAUGGUGAAACUGACACGUCUGUUUGCAAUAUUACAAAAAAGUUACUACAAACCACAAACUAAGUUCUCUUCCCUCAGACAUUGACGUGCGAUAGAACAGCAGAAUAUCGACUGCACAUGUUUAUACCACAACACUCCUCACCUCCACUUUGUCAACAAAACUAAAACAACAGCGGUGGGGCGGACACUGUUUCCACCCACUGCAGAGUCUGGGCCUACAUGUCAUUUUGUAUGGACAGCUGAGAACAACAUGCAACCUACUUUCUGGCUUCCCAGGUCUAAGUCAGAGAAAGAACACUCAGGCCCCAUCUGGAGUGCAAAUGGUUCUCGGAGCACACGUCCUUGAUGUCAAUAAACGUUUACUUCUAGUAUUUUAACUAAGCACACACUUGACUUCUACUAAGGAGUGGGAAGAAACAGUAAAAGUUAGGGGGGAGGGAGUGAGGGAGUGUGCUAGAAGAGUAGUGGGUCAGAUUUGUUAGCACUGUUGCAUGGUGAUCUGGAGGAAGCAGGUUACCCAUGCUAACACUGUUACAACGUGUGUUCUGCAGGAAGCAGGUUACCCAUGCUAACACUGUUACAACGUGUGUUCUGCAGGAAGCAGGUUACCCAUGCUAACACUGUUACAACGUGUGUUCUGGAGGAAGCAGGUUACCCAUGCUAACACUGUUACAACGUGUGUUCUGGAGGAAGCAGGUUACCCAUGCUAACACUGUUACAACGUGUGUUCUGGAGGAAGCAGGUUACCCAUGCUAACACUGUUACAACGUGUGUUCUGGAGGAAGCAGGUUACCCAUGCUAACACUGUUACAACGUGUGUUCUGGAGGAAGCAGGUUACCCAUGCUAACACUGUUACAACGUGUGUUCUGGAGGAAGCAGGUUACCCAUGCUAACACUGUUACAUGUGUUGUGAAGAAGCAGCGUCGACCACCGCAGGUAACA
This is a long non-coding RNA of Oncorhynchus keta (chum salmon), 1036 nucleotides long. RefSeq lists it as uncharacterized. Lineage: Eukaryota; Metazoa; Chordata; Actinopteri; Salmoniformes; Salmonidae. The record is from RefSeq and is a predicted model, not a curated record. The transcript has 3 exons.